RNAcentral lists this long non-coding RNA (252 nucleotides) under Elaeis guineensis (African oil palm). RNAcentral describes it as "long non-coding RNA (EGUI_LNC079555)". The record is from RNAcentral. Lineage: Eukaryota; Viridiplantae; Streptophyta; Magnoliopsida; Arecales; Arecaceae.
AGAAACUUGGAUAUGAAAAACCAUCAAAAAGACUUUCUUUUCUUGCACAAAAUGAGCUCCUUUAAAAAUAGCCAACGUGUAGAAGGAUGUGGAUAAGAUUUUAAGUUGAAAUUCAAAUCAUUUUGAAUUCAAAUCAAAACCAACCAAUUUCUAUCCUUCAUGGAUGACAAAAGAAGGGUUAUUUUCUAAUUUUCUCAUUUAUAAAUUGAUUUUAUGUGGUAAAAAAAGGUGUGAGAUAAUUUGGAUGGCACA